Molecule: transfer RNA, 75 nt
Filed under: Pelodiscus sinensis (Chinese soft-shelled turtle)
Lineage: Eukaryota; Metazoa; Chordata; Testudines; Trionychidae
Rfam family: tRNA
About the family: Transfer RNA (tRNA) molecules are approximately 80 nucleotides in length. Their secondary structure includes four short double-helical elements and three loops (D, anti-codon, and T loops). Further hydrogen bonds mediate the characteristic L-shaped molecular structure. tRNAs have two regions of fundamental functional importance: the anti-codon, which is responsible for specific mRNA codon recognition, and the 3' end, to which the tRNAs corresponding amino acid is attached (by aminoacyl-tRNA synthetases). tRNAs cope with the degeneracy of the genetic code in two manners: having more than one tRNA (with a specific anti-codon) for a particular amino acid; and 'wobble' base-pairing, i.e. permitting non-standard base-pairing at the 3rd anti-codon position.
Source: Rfam by way of RNAcentral
GGGAAAUUAGCUCAAGUGGUAGAGCGCUUGCUUUGUAAGUGAGAGAGGCAGUGGGAUUGAUACCCCCAUUCUCUG